RNAcentral lists this ribosomal RNA (157 nucleotides) under Curvularia spicifera. RNAcentral describes it as "5.8S ribosomal RNA". The stretch from base 1 to 77 matches the Rfam family "5.8S ribosomal RNA", at positions 78 to 154 of the family's 154-position model. The record is from RNAcentral. Lineage: Eukaryota; Fungi; Ascomycota; Dothideomycetes; Pleosporales; Pleosporaceae.
AAUUCAGUGAAUCAUCGAAUCUUUGAACGCACAUUGCGCCCUUUGGUAUUCCAAAGGGCAUGCCUGUUCGAGCGUCAUUUGUACCCUCAAGCUUUGCUUGGUGUUGGGCGUUUUUGUCUUUGGCCCGCCAAAGACUCGCCUUAAAAUGAUUGGCAGC